GACGAACGCUGGCGGCGUGCUUAACACAUGCAAGUCGAGCGGUAAGGCCCUUUCGGGGGUACGACGAGCGGCGAACGGGUGAGUAACACGUGGGUGACCUGCCCUCCAGCUCUGGGAGUAAGCCUGGGAAACCGGGUACUAAUACCGGAUAUGACUCCAUGACGCAUGUUGUGGGGUGGAAAGCCUUGUGCGGCUGAGGAUGGGCCCGCGGCCUAUCAGCUUGUUGGUGGGGUGAUGGCCUACCAAGGCGACGACGGGUAGCCGGCCUGAGAGGGCGACCGGCCACACUGGGACUGAGACACGGCCCAGACUCCUACGGGAGGCAGUAGUGGGGAAUCUUGCGCAAUGGGCGAAAGCCUGACGCAGCGACGCCGCGUGAGGGAUGACGGCCUGGUGUAACUCUU
RNAcentral lists this ribosomal RNA (404 nucleotides) under uncultured bacterium. Its description in RNAcentral is "bacterial SSU rRNA". It matches the Rfam family "Bacterial small subunit ribosomal RNA", at positions 28 to 433 of the family's 1533-position model. The record is from RNAcentral.